UUAAUUAUAUGAUGCGACUUUACUGCCCCAGUCUGAGAACUAUGAUUGAUUCAGUCCUCUGAAAUUUU
Camponotus floridanus (Florida carpenter ant) is the source of this 68-nucleotide non-coding RNA. Lineage: Eukaryota; Metazoa; Arthropoda; Insecta; Hymenoptera; Formicidae. The record is from Rfam.